Carassius auratus (goldfish) is the source of this 1522-nucleotide long non-coding RNA. RefSeq lists it as uncharacterized. NCBI's taxonomy places the organism in Eukaryota, Metazoa, Chordata, Actinopteri, Cypriniformes, Cyprinidae. The transcript has 2 exons. The record is from RefSeq and is a predicted model, not a curated record.
GCCAUAAUAGUGACGGAUUGCUGUUGCAACAGGAAUUACUGACAAUUUGCAAAUCUGGAAUGACAACGGUUACACCAAGUCAAAAGAGAUCAAAAGUCAAAAGACCAGUCAGAAGACUCUUGCUGAGUAGGAGACCACGUCUGGAUCAGGUUAGAAAUUAAACAUAAAAAUAAACCGUUUAAAGAUUUAAUUAAUAAGAAUGAUACAAAAAAUUAAAAUAGUUGAUAAACAAUGUGGAAUUAACAGAUAAUGGCCUCAGUGGAGUAAGAGGAAUUUGGUCGUGGUUAAAAACCAAGGACGAGAAAAUUUAAUUCAAUCAGGAAAAUUAUCAAUGAGAUUAGGAUGAGCUUGUUAAAUUGGUUGAGAUUAAUAACCAGAGAGGUGUGAUUAGAAUUGAAACUAAUCUAAGGACGAGAUGCGAUGAUAAUUAUAUAGCGAAGGAUAUUGAGCAUGUAAAAGCCAGACAGACAGGUAGAUUGCUUAAACCUGUUAAACUGACAUGUUAUAUAGCAUAGGUGUAUGUGUGCUAUUUGUGGUAGUUUUGAAGAAUAACUGUGGUGGGAAGCACUAGCGAUAAGCAACCCCAAAUCCAGGGAGGAAUUAAAAAGCAAUAUUAAUAAUAAAAAAAAUACAAAAAAGAUUAGUAAACCUCUAACUAUGCCAAAAAUACAGAGAGAUCAAGAUUACAAAACUCCUGGAGAAAUUAAAGCAGCUUUGUGUGUUCACUGCCAAAAAUGAAAAAUUAGUUUCCCUAAAGUUGAAGUAAUAAUGACACAGCGGCUUGGAGUAAAAUAAACAGUUUGUGAUUGUUUGUGGACAGGGAAUAUGUGACUGAAUGCGAUGUAUGUCUCGAUGACAUUAAAUACCAUAAAUUGCUGGUACAUGGCAGACAUAAAGUUUGGUCUUGUAACAAGACCUUUGUUGAUUUCUCUAGUAAAGGCAAAAUUGAAGGUUCAAGAUUGCAAGUUGAUAACAUGACUUAUCAACAACAGCUGGGAUCAGGCGUCGAUUAUCUAUGGUCAUACCGUAUUAAGAGAAAUAUGGAUGACAUUCAAAGUAAAUGGCUCCCGUUGACCCCAAAGGUCUGGGAACGGAGCUGGAGUGCUUGAAAACUUGCUUUGACGUGAAGGUCAAAGCAUGCCGGCCAGAUAAGGGAACUGGAAUUAUCUGGUCUGUAGGCACCGUUGCCAAAACACUAUUAUAAAGUAAUAUAGGUGAGUGAAUAAUGGCACCUAGAAUUGAUUUUUUGAGACGAGGAGAAUCUGAUGACUCAAAUAGCAAUGUGCGUUGCCAUUUUAACUAAUUUCAACUAAUAAUGCAAAGAAGCAGAGUUCUGUGUCCUAUUGCAUUAUGGAGACAGAACAGCCAGCAAGCUGCUGUAUUAUCUCCGGGCAAGAAGCCAAUUAUGGAGGGGUUACAGCAGUCUUGUCUGAAUUAAACUAAUGUUAAAAGUUGUUUUAAACAUGACCACCACUUCUGAACCACAAAUUCUAGCAUGUGCAGUUGACAUUGAAUUGGCACA